AGUGAACGCUGGCGGUAGGCCUAACACAUGCAAGUCGAACGGCAGCACAGUAAGAGCUUGCUCUUACGGGUGGCGAGUGGCGGACGGGUGAGGCAUACAUCGGAAUCUACUUUUUCGUGGGGGAUAACGUAGGGAAACUUACGCUAAUACCGCAUACGAUCUACGGGUGAAAGCAGGGGAUAUUCGGACCUUUCGCGAUUGAAUGAGCCGAUGUCGGAUUAGCUAGUUGGCGGGGUAAAGGCCCACCAAGGCGACGAUCCGUAGCUGGUCUGAGAGGAUGAUCAGCCACACUGGAACUGAGACACGGUCCAGACUCCUACGGGAGGCAGCAGUGGGGAAUAUUGGACAAUGGGCGCAAGCCUGAUCCAGCCAUACCGCGUGAGUGAAGAAGGCCUUCGGGUUGUAAAGCCCUUUUGUUGGGAAAGAAAAGCAGCAGGUUAAUACCCCGCUGUUCUGACGGUACCCAAAGAAUAAGCACCGGCUAACUUCGUG
Molecule: ribosomal RNA, 492 nt
Filed under: uncultured bacterium
Lineage: Bacteria
Description: partial 16S ribosomal RNA
Rfam family: Bacterial small subunit ribosomal RNA
Source: RNAcentral